Molecule: ribosomal RNA, 438 nt
Filed under: uncultured bacterium
Lineage: Bacteria
Description: bacterial SSU rRNA
Rfam family: Bacterial small subunit ribosomal RNA
Source: RNAcentral
GAGCGGUAGAAAGGAGCUUGCACCUCUUGAGAGCGGCGGACGGGUGAGUAAUGCCUAGGAAUCUGCCUGGUAGUGGGGGAUAACGUUUGGAAACGGACGCUAAUACCGCAUACGUCCUACGGGAGAAAGCAGGGGACCUUCGGGCCUUGCGCUAUCAGAUGAGCCUAGGUCGGAUUAGCUAGUUGGUGAGGUAAUGGCUCACCAAGGCGACGAUCCGUAACUGGUCUGAGAGGAUGAUCAGUCACACUGGAACUGAGACACGGUCCAGACUCCUACGGGAGGCAGCAGUGGGGAAUAUUGGACAAUGGGCGAAAGCCUGAUCCAGCCAUGCCGCGUGUGUGAAGAAGGUCUUCGGAUUGUAAAGCACUUUAAGUUGGGAGGAAGGGCAUUAACCUAAUACGUUAGUGUUUUGACGUUACCGACAGAAAAGCACCGGCA